This 690-nucleotide ribosomal RNA is filed under the name Astrosporangium sp. P3822. Its description in RNAcentral is "bacterial SSU rRNA". It matches the Rfam family "Bacterial small subunit ribosomal RNA", at positions 24 to 734 of the family's 1533-position model. The record is from RNAcentral. Lineage: Bacteria; Bacillati; Actinomycetota; Actinomycetes; Streptosporangiales; Streptosporangiaceae.
UCAGGACGAACGCUGGCGGCGUGCUUAACACAUGCAAGUCGAGCGGAAAGGCCCUUCGGGGUACUCGAGCGGCGAACGGGUGAGUAACACGUGAGUAACCUGCCCCUGACUUCGGGAUAAGCCUGGGAAACCGGGUCUAAUACCGGAUAUGACCUGCCACUGCAUGGUGUGCGGGUGGAAAGUUUUUUCGGUUGGGGAUGGGCUCGCGGCCUAUCAGCUUGUUGGUGGGGUAGUGGCCUACCAAGGCGACGACGGGUAGCCGGCCUGAGAGGGCGACCGGCCACACUGGGACUGAGACACGGCCCAGACUCCUACGGGAGGCAGCAGUGGGGAAUCUUGCGCAAUGGGCGGAAGCCUGACGCAGCGACGCCGCGUGGGGGAUGACGGCCUUCGGGUUGUAAACCUCUUUCAGCAGGGACGAAGUUGACGUGUACCUGUAGAAGAAGCGCCGGCUAACUACGUGCCAGCAGCCGCGGUAAUACGUAGGGCGCGAGCGUUGUCCGGAAUUAUUGGGCGUAAAGAGCUCGUAGGUGGCUUGUCGCGUCUGCCGUGAAAGCCCAUGGCUUAACUGUGGGUCUGCGGUGGAUACGGGCUGGCUAGAGGUAGGUAGGGGCAAGCGGAAUUCCUGGUGUAGCGGUGAAAUGCGCAGAUAUCAGGAGGAACACCGGUGGCGAAGGCGGCUUGCUGGGC